UGCAACUCCCAUGGCUAGCAAGGCAGUUGGGGGCUCUGCAGCACUAAACCUCUGUGGUGCUAGAGAGGAAGCACCUCUAAGCGGGUUCACACAUAAUGAUGAUAAUAGAUCUGUUGCUUUGUCUGAUGAUGAGCCUCUGCUGCGCAUAGGACAAGUUCAAGGCUGGGUGGGCAAGCCUCUGGGAGCUGCUUCCCCCCUCCCCCAACUUCCCCGACUGCUGGGAGCUACCAGAUCAAAAUAGCUGCUUGGAGAGGUGGAGCCAGCCACAAAAUGGCGGCUUGGAGAGGCAGAACCAGUUGCAAAAUGGGGCCAGCUUUCUGUUCCCUUUCUAGCAUGGCUGACAUGUCCACGAUCACCACAGACAACUUAAAAGCACUGCUGCUGAAAGGUCUCAGAAACCGCAGCUCGGAUUUGGCAAUCAAAAUGUUAAGCAGAGGAACUGUUACUUUCCCACAGGUUUGUGUGAAUAAAAUAGUCUG
Long non-coding RNA from Hemicordylus capensis (graceful crag lizard), 479 nucleotides. RefSeq lists it as uncharacterized. The record is from RefSeq and is a predicted model, not a curated record. NCBI's taxonomy places the organism in Eukaryota, Metazoa, Chordata, Lepidosauria, Squamata, Cordylidae. The transcript has 3 exons.